Molecule: unclassified non-coding RNA, 348 nt
Filed under: soil metagenome
Description: partial contains 5.8S ribosomal RNA, internal transcribed spacer 2, and large subunit ribosomal RNA
Rfam family: 5.8S ribosomal RNA (bases 1-120)
Source: RNAcentral
GAUGAAGAACGUAGCGAAAUGCGAAAAGUAAUGUGAAUUGCAGAAUUCAGUGAACCAUCGAAUCUUUGAACGCACAUUGCGCCCGCUGGAACUCCGGCGGGCACGCCUGUCCGAGCUUCAUUUCAACCCUCAGGCCCCCCUUCGCGGGCGGGCCUGGUGUUGGGGCCCGGCCGCUACCCUGCGGCCGUCCCCUAAAUUCAGUGGCGGCCUCGCCGUGAUCCCUUGCGUAGUAAUGCACCUCGCACCGGAGAGCGCCGUGGCCACGCCGUAAAACCCCCAAUUUUCAAUGGUUGACCUCGGAUCAGGUGGGAAUACCCGCUGAACUUAAGCAUAUCAAUAAGCGGAGGA